This 374-nucleotide ribosomal RNA is filed under the name uncultured organism. RNAcentral's name for it is "partial 16S ribosomal RNA". It matches the Rfam family "Bacterial small subunit ribosomal RNA", at positions 527 to 896 of the family's 1533-position model. The record is from RNAcentral.
GUAGGUGGCAAGCGUUGUCCGGAUUUACUGGGCGUAAAGAGCGCGCAGGCGGCCGAGUAAGUCGAAUGUGAAAGCCCCCGGCUCAACUGGGGAGGGUCAUUCGAUACUGUUCGGCUUGAAGAUAGGAGAGGGAAGCGGAAUUCCCGGUGUAGUGGUGAAAUGCGUAGAUAUCGGGAGGAACACCAGUGGCGAAGGCGGCUUUCUGGCCUAUUCUUGACGCUGAGGCGCGAAAGCUAGGGGAGCGAACGGGGAUUAGAUACCCCGGUAGUCCUAGCUGUAAACGAUGGACACUAGAUGUUGGUGGUAUCAACCCCCCGCCAGUGUCGUAGCUAACGCAUUAAGUGUCCCGCCUGGGGAGUACGGCCGCAAGGCUA